AUACUCUUUUGAUGCCAGUAUCUGAUCUAAAUAUUUAUGAUAAAAUGUAUUAUUUUUUUAAGGAGCUUGAUGAGAUCUGUGAUAAAUGCUAGUACUCAAAAUCCAAAUCCCCAAACCUCAGUUGUUAACUCACUAACUGAACACAAACUCUACAGUCUGUUUUAGAAGUAAGUCUUGCAGCCUUACAGUAGUUAACAUGGUAAACCUUAGGAGAUAGUCAAAGUGGGGUGUGGUGGUGCACGCCUUUAUCUCUGUGAGUUUAGCCCAGCCUAUUCUCCAGAGUUCUAUGGAGUGAGAUUCGUGCCAUUAGUUUCAUGGUGAGACCCUGCCUUAAAAAAGAAAAAAAAAAGAAAAAAAAGAAAAAAAAGAAAAGAAAAGAAAAAAAAAAGAAACGGGCUUAAGUAAGGGGUAUAAAAUACCGAACUCUAAAUCAUGCACAUUUUCUCAACCUUGUACCUGAGGCAAAUUAUGAGUGUGAGAGCAGCCUGUCCUGGCCCUCAGGGGAAAGUGUGUCACAUUUGCAGCAAGGUCCUGUGCUGUGUGUGAAUGGACACCAUUCCUCUUUUCUCCACAAACAGUGCAGAGAGCUGUCUGCAGUGACAAUUUGAACAGAUUUCCCGGUACCCCCUCUGCUCCUGCAACACUACAAGUUCAAAGAAUGUUUGCUGUCACUGUCGUGAGCAGUGUCAUCACCGUGUGUGUUCAUGGACUGGUCUGAGAAGUCUGGAGAGGAGGACAGUUUAUGGGAGGCAGGAGGCCUUCCUGAAUUUCCACCCUGAUUGACCACAAAGCCCUGCUUUACUGGCUGGUAGGAGUUACUCCUAAAGAUGAGCCUUGCUUCCCAGGUGUGCUCUACAAAGCUGUUAACAGUGUGAAUUCAGCUCUCCUCUGUACAGAAAGGGAACCUUGUGUCACUUAAUGGAUUUGUUUAUACAGAGCUUUUGUUGCCAUCCACAGUUUCGGAGGUGGCAGGAGCACAUGGGAAGAGGAUUCUCCCUGUCUUUUACAAACCCUUUUCUUUAGUUGUAUCUGAUGACAGUAUAAGAUCUUAAUAAAGUUUUAUGUUCUUUUUGAAGA
RNAcentral lists this long non-coding RNA (1077 nucleotides) under Cricetulus griseus (Chinese hamster). RNAcentral describes it as "lncRNA (ENSCGRG00015042424.1)". The record is from RNAcentral. Lineage: Eukaryota; Metazoa; Chordata; Mammalia; Rodentia; Cricetidae.